GCUGGGCAUGGCGGCGCAUGCCUGUAAUCCCAGCUACUCGGGAGGCUGAGGCAGGAGAAUCACUUGAACCCAGGAGGCAGAGGUUGCAGUGAGCCGAGAUCACGCCACUGCACUCCAGCCUGGGUGACAGAGGGAGACUCCGUCUCAA
This 148-nucleotide non-coding RNA is filed under the name Homo sapiens (human). The record is from Rfam by way of RNAcentral. Lineage: Eukaryota; Metazoa; Chordata; Mammalia; Primates; Hominidae.